RNAcentral lists this ribosomal RNA (772 nucleotides) under Bacillus tequilensis. RNAcentral describes it as "bacterial SSU rRNA". It matches the Rfam family "Bacterial small subunit ribosomal RNA", at positions 20 to 777 of the family's 1533-position model. The record is from RNAcentral. Lineage: Bacteria; Bacillati; Bacillota; Bacilli; Caryophanales; Bacillaceae.
CCGUGUUGGUUACGCUGCACGUGCUAAUACAUGCAGUCGAGCGGACAGAUGGGAGCUUGCUCCCUGAUGUUAGCGGCGGACGGGUGAGUAACACGUGGGUAACCUGCCUGUAAGACUGGGAUAACUCCGGGAAACCGGGGCUAAUACCGGAUGGUUGUUUGAACCGCAUGGUUCAGACAUAAAAGGUGGCUUCGGCUACCACUUACAGAUGGACCCGCGGCGCAUUAGCUAGUUGGUGAGGUAACGGCUCACCAAGGCGACGAUGCGUAGCCGACCUGAGAGGGUGAUCGGCCACACUGGGACUGAGACACGGCCCAGACUCCUACGGGAGGCAGCAGUAGGGAAUCUUCCGCAAUGGACGAAAGUCUGACGGAGCAACGCCGCGUGAGUGAUGAAGGUUUUCGGAUCGUAAAGCUCUGUUGUUAGGGAAGAACAAGUGCCGUUCAAAUAGGGCGGCACCUUGACGGUACCUAACCAGAAAGCCACGGCUAACUACGUGCCAGCAGCCGCGGUAAUACGUAGGUGGCAAGCGUUGUCCGGAAUUAUUGGGCGUAAAGGGCUCGCAGGCGGUUUCUUAAGUCUGAUGUGAAAGCCCCCGGCUCAACCGGGGAGGGUCAUUGGAAACUGGGGAACUUGAGUGCAGAAGAGGAGAGUGGAAUUCCACGUGUAGCGGUGAAAUGCGUAGAGAUGUGGAGGAACACCAGUGGCGAAGGCGACUCUCUGGUCUGUAACUGACGCUGAGGGAGCGAAAGCGUGGGGGAGCGAAACAGGA